GAUGAAGAACGUAGCGAAAUGCGAUACUUGGUGUGAAUUGCAGAAUCCCGUGAACCAUCGAGUCUUUGAACGCAAGUUGCGCCAGAAGCCAUUAGGCCGAGGGCACGCCUGCCUGGGCGUCACACGUCGUUGCCCCCCCAUCUACUCCUUCGGGAUUGCGGGGGGCGGAUGAUGGCCUCUCGUGCGCCUCGUCGCGCGGUUGGCCUAAAUGCCAAGUCCUCGGCGACGCACGCCACGACAAUCGGUGGUUGCGAAACCUCGGUUGCCUGUCGUGUGCGGUCGUCGUGCAUCGAGGGCUCGAAAAAAUUGCCGGGCUUCGGCUCGACUUUCAACGCGACCCCAGGUCAGGCGGGGUUACCCGCUGAAUUUAAGCAUAUCAAUAAGCGGAGGA
RNAcentral lists this unclassified non-coding RNA (391 nucleotides) under soil metagenome. Its description in RNAcentral is "partial contains 5.8S ribosomal RNA, internal transcribed spacer 2, and large subunit ribosomal RNA". The stretch from base 1 to 122 matches the Rfam family "5.8S ribosomal RNA", at positions 35 to 154 of the family's 154-position model. The record is from RNAcentral.